RNAcentral lists this ribosomal RNA (407 nucleotides) under uncultured bacterium. Its description in RNAcentral is "partial 16S ribosomal RNA". It matches the Rfam family "Bacterial small subunit ribosomal RNA", at positions 28 to 526 of the family's 1533-position model. The record is from RNAcentral.
GACGAACGCCGGCGGCGCGCCUAAUACACGCAAGCAGAACGCAGUUCCGAACGGGUGAGUACCGCGUAGGUAACUGCCUCAUAGCGGGGGAUAACCACUGGAAACGAUAGCUAAUACCGCAUACUGUGAGAAGGACCAGCGUUGUAAUAGCUAGUUGGUGAGGUAAAGGCACAACAAGGUGACGAUCCAUAGCCGACCUGAGAGGGUGAACGGCCACACUGGGACUGAGAGGCGGCACCGACUCCUACGGGAGGCAGCAGUAGGGAAUCUUCGGCAAUGGGCGGAAGUCUGACCGAGCAAGGCCGCGUGGGUGUAGAAGGUUUUCGGAUCGUAAAGCUCUGUUAUUAGUGAGGCGGUAACUAACCAGAAAGGGACGGCUAACUGCGUGCCAGCAGCCGCGGUAAUAC